GCCGGGCAUGGUGGCGCAUGCCUAUAGUCCCAGCUAUUCGGGAGGCUGAGACUGGAGGAUCUGUUGAGUCCAGGAGGUCUGGGCUGUAGUGCGCUAUGCCAAUCGGGUGUCCGCACUAAGUUCGGCAUCAUACGGUGACUUCCCGGGAGUGGGGGACCACCAGGUUGCUCUAAGGAGGGGUGAACCGGCCCAGGUCGGAAAUGGAGCAGGUCAAAACUCCUGUGCUGAUCAGUAGUGGGAUCGUGCCUGUGAAUAGCCACUGCACGCCAGCCUGGGCAACAUAGCGAGACUCCGUCUCU
This 299-nucleotide signal recognition particle RNA is filed under the name Aotus nancymaae (Ma's night monkey). RNAcentral describes it as "Metazoan signal recognition particle RNA (ENSANAG00000007946.1)". It matches the Rfam family "Metazoan signal recognition particle RNA". From Rfam's summary of the family: The signal recognition particle (SRP) is a universally conserved ribonucleoprotein. It is involved in the co-translational targeting of proteins to membranes. The record is from RNAcentral. Lineage: Eukaryota; Metazoa; Chordata; Mammalia; Primates; Aotidae.